RNAcentral lists this ribosomal RNA (483 nucleotides) under uncultured bacterium. RNAcentral's name for it is "partial 16S ribosomal RNA". It matches the Rfam family "Bacterial small subunit ribosomal RNA", at positions 28 to 523 of the family's 1533-position model. The record is from RNAcentral.
GACGAACGCUGGCGGCGUGCUUAACACAUGCAAGUCGAACGAUGAAGCCGGAGCUUGCUCCGGUGGAUUAGUGGCGAACGGGUGAGUAACACGUGAGCAAUCUGCCCUUGACUCUGGGAUAACUGCGGGAAACUGUAGCUAAUACCGGAUACGACACCUUGGGGCAUCCCAGGGUGUGGAAAGAGUUUCGGUCAAGGAUGAGCUCGCGGCCUAUCAGCUAGUUGGUGAGGUAAUGGCUCACCAAGGCGACGACGGGUAGCCGGCCUGAGAGGGUGACCGGCCACACUGGAACUGAGACACGGUCCAGACUCCUACGGGAGGCAGCAGUGGGGAAUAUUGCACAAUGGGCGAAAGCCUGAUGCAGCAACGCCGCGUGAGGGAUGAGGGCCUUCGGGUUGUAAACCUCUUUUAGCAGGGAAGAAGCGAAAGUGACGGUACCUGCAGAAAAAGCACCGGCUAACUACGUGCCAGCCGCCGCAGUAA